Plectropomus leopardus (leopard coralgrouper) is the source of this 340-nucleotide non-coding RNA. The record is from RefSeq and is a predicted model, not a curated record. NCBI's taxonomy places the organism in Eukaryota, Metazoa, Chordata, Actinopteri, Perciformes, Serranidae.
ACAGCCGAGUUUCUGUCUCUGUGUCCCAGCGGGAGAGGAUACGUUACAACCGGACCAGGAGCCUUCAGCUACAGAGAUGUGGACGAGUGUAAACGUUUCCAUCCGGAGGUGUGUAAGAACGGAGUGUGUGUCAACAACAUCCCCGGAUACAACUGCUACUGCACCAGCGGAUACGUGUACGACAGCACGCUGCUGGAGUGUGUGGAUCACGAUGAGUGUGAGGAGGAGAGUUGUGUCGGAGGCAUCUGCGUCAACACGGUGGGCUCGUUUUACUGCAGCUGUCCUCAUCCUCUGGUGCUCGGCAACACGCAGCGCAACUGCGUCAACUCCUCCAGCCCUG